RNAcentral lists this ribosomal RNA (253 nucleotides) under uncultured bacterium. Its description in RNAcentral is "partial 16S ribosomal RNA". It matches the Rfam family "Bacterial small subunit ribosomal RNA", at positions 524 to 776 of the family's 1533-position model. The record is from RNAcentral.
UACAGGGGGGGCAAGCGUUGUUCGGAAUUACUGGGCGUAAAGGGCGCUUCGGCGGCCUUCUAAGUCGAACGUGAAAUCCCUCGGCUUAACCGGGGAACUGCGUCUGAUACUGGAUGGCUUGAGUUUGGGAGAGGGACGCGGAAUUCCAGGUGUAGCGGUGAAAUGCGUAGAUAUCUGGAGGAACACCGGUGGCGAAGGCGGCGUCCUGGACCAACACUGACACUGAGGAGCGAAAGCCAGGGGAGCAAACGGG